GUGCUUGCUUUGGCAGCACAUAUACUAAAAUUGGAAUGAUACAGAGAAGAUUAGCAUGCUCCUGUGCAAGUAUGACACACAAAUUCAUGAACAGUUCCAUAUUUUU
Nycticebus coucang (slow loris) is the source of this 106-nucleotide small nuclear RNA. NCBI's taxonomy places the organism in Eukaryota, Metazoa, Chordata, Mammalia, Primates, Lorisidae. The record is from RefSeq and is a predicted model, not a curated record.